Long non-coding RNA from Peromyscus eremicus (cactus mouse), 2021 nucleotides. RefSeq lists it as uncharacterized. The record is from RefSeq and is a predicted model, not a curated record. The transcript has 4 exons. Lineage: Eukaryota; Metazoa; Chordata; Mammalia; Rodentia; Cricetidae.
AUAUUUUGUCUGUAGCUACAAAAGUAAAUGAAACUAUUUUAAGUACACAUGAAGAACGUCUCAGAGAUCACAGAUCCAAUAACUUGGGUUUACAGCAGUUGGAUUCAUUGAACCUGCCUCACAUUGUUUCCCAAACUAGUCUUGAGCCCCUGUGUUUAAGUUAUCUCACUGCCUCAGCUUCUCCAGAGUUUCUAAGAAUAAAGCUUCACACUGCUGUGCCUGGCAGAGUCAAUUAAUUUUAAUAUAAAAGUAUGGAAAUGCAUGAUAUGAUUCUGGUAGAGUUUUAUUUAUUAUGAGAACUCCCUUCCUGGCUGGAAUGCAAUUACCUACUUCUAAUUUUGCCUUUAAGUAGUGGAGGCAGAGAAAAACUCGAUAUUAGCCUCAUGAGAACAAGGCUCCACCCUUCUGGCCUCAGUUUACCCUAACUAAUUCCUGAUUACCUUCUUACCAAUGCAAUUUCACUGGAGUCAGAGAUCCAUGGAUUUGGGAAAGACACACUUCAAUCUAUGCAACUCAUUUCUCUCUCCUUAUGAGAAAAACCUGAAAACUCAUUAAAAAAUGUAUUUUAAAGUUUAUCUGGGAGUACAUUUAGCUCUGUGUGUACAUGUGUUUCAUAUCGAUGAGACAUGCCAAUAAUGAAUUGAAAAUAUCUGAAAUAAGAGAGUCUAAACAUUUGCAGAUUCUUUUUCUUGUUUAUGCCUUAAGCAAUACUGCAUUUGCAAACAGGUUCGUUGAUUAGGUAUCAAUAUCAACAGAAAUGAAUGAAAGCCUACAGGAUGAAGUACGUAAGAUAUAUGCAAAUUCUACAUCAUAAACAACUUUAGGUUGUGGUAUUUGUAGGGGUUCAAAUAAACACCAGAUAAACAGAGAGUCAAUCUUAUAUUAUAUUUUUUAUAUUGUAUUAUUUAUGAGAAGAAAAAUCAGCUCUGUGCAGUUUAUUUUAGUUCAUAUGAAAUAUGACACUUUAAGUUCAAAAUUGACAAAGAUUUUCACUAGGGCUUGGUGGGAUGAGGCAUGUGGAUCCUAAACAAAAUGUCCCUGAUGUGCAGCUGUGUGUCCUGUCCAGUGUCCCUGUACAGCUCACAAUUUUGUUGCUUUCACAAAUACAUGAAGGAAACAAUUUAAAUGGAGAAAGAUUUAUUUGGUGCACAGCUGCCUGGAUCAUUGUCCUUAGGCCUGCGGUGAAAGAGAAUAUCUCUCCUCAUGGCAGCAGGAAGAAGAUAUGAGCUAAUGGGCUCCUCCUCCCCCUCUUUUGGUCCAUCUGAGCCCGAGGUGUUGAAUGGCACUGACCACAGUCAGAGUACAUCUGAAUUUACCAUUCAUACUGAGAGCCCUCCCAAAAACACCCAGUGUGCUUACCAAUUUCCCAAGUAUUUCUCAAUACAAUCAAGUUGACAGGCAAAUGGCCACUGUAUUCUUCCCUUCUUAGUUUCAUGUUCCUAUACAAGCAUACAUUUCACUAGCAUCGUAUACAGCCAUGGCCUACUUAUCACUCUAGGGUUCAUGUAUAAGUCUCUGUUUCAGGUGUUGACAUAGAUUUCCUGAGAUGCUUUGUGGUUUCAAAUUGCUACUGUACACAUUGUAGUAAGGUAGGAAAAGACAAUGCUAUGGGAAAAGACAAUACUGUAGAGUUUUGCAAGGCCUACAGGAUCAUUCUGUGAGCACAGAUGGAAAUCCAAAUGGGAACCUUUGCAGUGUUAGAAUUACUGGCUUUCAUUUAUACAAAUCUUCUCAUUUUACAAGCUUACUGUGGCUCAGAAAUGCCACCCCAUCAAUCCUCAUGGCUGCUCACGGGGACACUGAUGGGCUAUUAAAAUGAGCUCAGGGAACCCUGCAGAAGAGGAGGCAAUGUAUGUAAGAGCCAGAGGGGAUGAAGGACACCAGGACAGCAAAACCAACUAAAUCAACAGAGCAAGGCUCAUAUGAACUCACAGAGACUGAAGCAGCAGGCUUCAGAUUUGAAAGAUGUUGGAAAGUGGCAGAGGCAUGAAAGUAGAAAAGGCCAUUUCUGGAAAGAGAAA